RNAcentral lists this unclassified non-coding RNA (343 nucleotides) under Hevea brasiliensis (rubber tree). Lineage: Eukaryota; Viridiplantae; Streptophyta; Magnoliopsida; Malpighiales; Euphorbiaceae. The record is from RNAcentral.
CAAAAGGUUGGUACUUUACUGUUUUGCAAGUGGAUGACAGAGGAGAUGAAGGUUACAAGUCUUUAUAGUAGUGGGGGUAGGAAAAAAAGUGAUCUUUAUGAAAUAAUGGUGUAUUUAGUUGAUAUUCGUAAUGGUUAAUAAUGUAUGUUUAGUUGAUGUUGGUAAUUGUGAAAAUUGCUAUGUUUAGUUCUUAGGAGCUCUGAAAUCGAAAGAUAUAUGUUUUCUAGUGCUUGAGGCUGAGGGAUAAACGCCGUUUCGUUUUGGUAAUUGGUUGUUUGCAUAUCAAGAAUCUUGAUUUUAGAACCUCCCCUUUUUAAUCUUACCAAGAAAAAUGGAAAUGUUG